This 610-nucleotide ribosomal RNA is filed under the name Limnobacter sp. Its description in RNAcentral is "bacterial SSU rRNA". It matches the Rfam family "Bacterial small subunit ribosomal RNA", at positions 41 to 644 of the family's 1533-position model. Lineage: Bacteria; Pseudomonadati; Pseudomonadota; Betaproteobacteria; Burkholderiales; Burkholderiaceae. The record is from RNAcentral.
GGCAUGCGCAGCUUAACAUGCAGUCGAACGGUAACAGGGAGCUUGCUCCGCUGACGAGUGGCGAACGGGUGAGUAAUACAUCGGAACGUGCCCAGUAAUGGGGGAUAGCUCGGCGAAAGCCGGAUUAAUACCGCAUACGCCCUGAGGGGGAAAGUGGGGGACCGCAAGGCCUCACGUUAUUGGAGCGGCCGAUGGCUGAUUAGCUAGUUGGUAGGGUAAAGGCCUACCAAGGCGACGAUCAGUAGCUGGUCUGAGAGGACGAUCAGCCACACUGGGACUGAGACACGGCCCAGACUCCUACGGGAGGCAGCAGUGGGGAAUUUUGGACAAUGGGGGAAACCCUGAUCCAGCAAUGCCGCGUGUGCGAAGAAGGCCUUCGGGUUGUAAAGCACUUUUGUCAGGGAAGAAAUCCUUUGGGCUAAUACCCUAGGGGGAUGACGGUACCUGAAGAAUAAGCACCGGCUAACUACGUGCCAGCAGCCGCGGUAAUACGUAGGGUGCAAGCGUUAAUCGGAAUUACUGGGCGUAAAGCGUGCGCAGGCGGUUGUGUAAGACAGGUGUGAAAUCCCCGGGCUUAACCUGGGAAUUGCAUUUGUGACUGCACGACUAG